AUCCUCAUUUGUAAACUACCUGAGUUUGAGAGAAAUACACAUCUUACUAAGUUAAGUGAACCUUGUGCUUGUUUUCCUUUCUUUCCGUAUUUUGCGCUUCCGUGUGAGAGCCAAGGAAAUUAUAGGCCCGCGGGAAGGUGUUCAAGAUUGAACUAUAGCACACAUAAAAGAAAUACAACCUCGUCUCCAGAAAAGGCUCUAGAGGCAACGGGCCGGCUACAUACUCCACCCCAGCGGCUGUGGGUAGGUCAACCUCCCACCAUGCUGCCGGGCCUAACUCCUCUGGUUCUUCCAAUUCGGAAAACUUCAAAAUGAAAAUUCUCACAGUCAACGGAUGAGAGGAUUUAUUAAGAAAAAUAUUGGACGUUACUACCAUUGAACUAGGGGUUGUUUUCAUAAUAACAACAACCACUGGGACCUUAUCACGCGCCACAAUCCGCCUCCCUACCAAGUUAGCGAACCCAAAUUUGUUAGUUGUGUAGGUAUACUAAUAUUUCUAAUAUAAAUAGGCUUGGGCCAAUCCAAACUUGGUUAAAUAGGCCAAAUUUGUUCUGAAAGAUUAGUCUAUUGGGAUGAAGAUAUAUAUAUUUUUAUAUAUAUACAGGCCUAGGUCUUGCCUACUUCUCAUCAUUUUGUAAACCCUAAAGUCUUGCGUCUUCCUUCAUCUAUUCUUAAUCGGAGGCCAAAAGCAAGUCUGUGGUCCAUUUUUGUAGAGGUUUUCGAACUAAAUUUCUGAUCUAAACCCUAAAGUCCUGCGUCUUCCUUCAUCUUUUGCCAUUCUUAAUCGGAGAUACUUUACAAAGUAGGAAGGUUUAAUUUUUCCCAUUUUCUUCCUCAAUCUAUGGCACGCACAAGGCAAACCCCAUACGUCUUCAGAAUGUUACCCAUGCUAAGGCUGCGGGGUGCAUCCUCCACCCAAGCCGCUGUGGGUGGGUCGACCUCCAACCCUGCCCCUGCCAAUGUGGGUGGGUCGACCUCCAACCCAGUCGCUGUGGGUGGAUCGAUCUCCACCCCAGCUGGCGUGGGUGGGUCGACCUCCAACGCUGCUGCCGGGCACAACUCCUCAGAUUCUUCUAAUGCCGAAAACUUCAAAAUGAAGAUUCUCUCAGUCAAUGAAGGAGAGGUACUUAUAUAUUUUGACAUACAGAUGAUUUCCCAUGUUCAAACUCUUGAGAUCACGUGUUUUUGUUUACUUUGAAUGAUUUGCUUGCACAACAAGCAUUUAUACGUGUACCGUGUAAUGUUAAGCCACACGCCGUGAAGGUAUAGAUCAUUGCACUUGCCAUAAAUUCCUAUACUCGUAAUUUAGUAUGUAGCUACAUAAAUCAACUGCAUUGAUUGUUUGCUUUGAUGAUGAUGCUUCUUCGCAUAUUUAUCUUUCCAUGGCAGUUAAACAAUACUUUAUUUACCUUGAUAAGAGCUUGUUUUAUUCAUACCACUUUCCACUUGUAAUGUGCUGAACUUAUUGGCAUAUUUUUCAAAAUCUAUUCGCAAAAAUUGUCGAUGCUACUACCACCGGACCUGGGAUUGUUUUCGUAAUAACAAUCACUGGGACAUUAUCCCACGCCACAAUCCGACUACCUGCGGAACACGGUGAACCCAGAAUAUACGAGGGUCCGUUUCAAAUUCUUUCAAUGGUCGGUUCCUUUGUUCUAUCUAGAGGUGGACUUGAAAGUGGCAAUGAUGGAAAGCUGAGUACAGCCUUACUUCGGCCAGAUGGAACUGGGUUUGGCGGUAUCGUAGCAGGACCUAUUAUCGCUGCAUCUUAUGCACAGAUCAUUCUUGGCUGCUCGCCCCAUGACGAGGGUGAAUCAUGAGAGAAGUAGAGGAGACCACAUGCAGAGUCCGAUUCUUCAUAAAUGGAACUGUAUAUGGUGCUUGUAAACUGAAUAUGUUGUCUUGAUAUUAAUUCUGUAGAAGAUGUUGUUUGUUGUAUAUUAUGCACAUAUUGUAGCAUGUUAUUUUGUAUUUUGUGGUGAUCAUCAGCAAUAUAUAUUAUUUAAAUUUUAGUUUUACUUUACAGCAUUAUAAUCAUGGUUUUUCUGGCACCUUGGUGUCCUGGCAGUGCACCGGUAGCACCAGGACAGCUCGCCUCACCGUUUUGCAAGGCUGGCAUCUUGGCAUCACAAAACCCAAUAUGAAUUGUUUUGACUCAGUACAUUACCAGACUUAAAUUUAACCCUCCCCCAAAAACCUAGGUUGCCGCUACAUUUCUUUUUUCCCUUCUCAUCCUACUUGCCUCGGUCUCCACCCACCAUCACUGGCCGCCGUCGGUCAGUAGUAAAGGUUAUUUGUAUGUAAGGUUUAUCUGCAUGUUUAUUUCUCUUUUACUCGAAAUUUAUUUUGUUGAUUUUAUCUUAUUUUCUUGAUUUGAGAACUUUAUAGUAUUUUUUUAUAAUAAUAAUUAUGUAUAACAAAGCAUUGUCUACCUGUUUAGUUAUGAAUUGAAUUUAACCUCAAUUAAAGAGAAAGAUCAAAGGGAUAGGCCACUAGUUAAACAAAUUGAUAAUGAUUAAUAAGACAUAUGUGUAUGCUUAUUGGUCUGGUGACAAUGGCUUCACUUAGAAAUAAUAUUAUUGGUUAUGGAUGUAAAGUUUCGUUGUAAUCCCGUAUGUCAAAUACCAAUCAUGAGUCAUAGGAAACACAUAAACACCUUGACUUGUCCUCUCUAUCACUUAAAAACUCGCUUACACUUCAAAAUCACUUCUAUCCAUUGUUUCAUCCAAUUUCUACCCCGUUAGACAUAUUUUAUUAUUUUUAAAGUUGGAUUAAAUUAUGUUUUAGAAGCUAGAUUACUUUUCAGCCCUUUGAUUGUAUUAAUUCAUUGUACUUUUUUUAAGCAAACAUUUCAAAUUCUUAUUUUCUGCACAAGUCAAAGAAAUUUUUUAACUUUGACGAUGUUUUUAGAGUUACUAUAGACAGACCUAUGAUAUUUAUUUUUAUUUUUAUACAUAUAUUAUAUUUUAUACUUUAUCUUAAAUAUAUUUUAAAAAUCUUGCAAAACCUUUUCAUCAAGGGCUUAAUCCCCGAAAUCAGUUAUCUCCAUAAUUUUGUUACUAUUUUUUGAAUAGUAGAUCCGGUAUUCAAUUGUGUAAGAAUCUUGAAUUUCAUGAAUUUUCACUUCAUGAACACCCUGAACACUCAAUGAAAUUUUAAGACAAGAAAUUAGGGGGAGUACGGUAAAUUUCGACAUGUGAUAUUUGAGGCCCAAAUUUAUCCGAAGCCCAAGUGUAAGAACCAAGCUAAUUUUCUAAGGCCCUACUUGUCUAGCUGAUCCACGUCUGAUAUUGAUCCACAUCCGUCUGAUGGAGGUUUUUUUCGUGACCAACAUGGAGCUAAGUACUAAUCAGAAGGCUAUCGAGAAUGAAGGGACUAAUAGUAACCUCCCGGAACAUUCCAGAAUAUUCCAGGAAUGCCAGGAUUGCCCCUUGACCAAGUUGAUGUCUAUCCAAAUAGACAGAUUUUAUCCUUAUCCAUAUUUAUAUAGAUAGAACUUAUCCGGAUAUACUUUAACAUGUGUUAGGCCCAGCCCAUUGUAGAGUCUCUAUAUAUAGAGGUGUCAUCCUCAUUUGUAAACUACCCGAGUUUGAGAGAAAUACACACCUCACACUAAGUUAAGUGAACCUUGUGCUUCUUUUUCUUUCUUUCCAUAUUUUGUGCUUCCGUGUGAGAGCCAAGGAAAUUAUAGGCCUACGGGAAGGUGUUCAAGGUGACGAACCAUACAAGCCAUUGAUUCAGAUCUAAUAUAUCUAAUAUACGUUGUACAUGCGCAGCCAUUACUUAUUUAUAUCUUAUGUUAUUUUCCCAUUCAUAUCUUCUCCCUUUCUCUUUAAUCUUCUCAGUAAGGUAAGUUCACUCGGUUCUUGUGAAGUUUGAGAAUUGGUGAUCUUGUUUCCUGUGACGAGCAGACUGAUCGUGUCUCAUUCAUCCCUCUUUUUUAGUGUUCUUUGAGUGAUUUUGUGAGUGAUGUGUUCUUGUCCACUCUUAGUCAAAUAAAUCUAAGGUCUGUCUUCGAAAUAGCUGUUGAUCGAUAGUUGAGAGAGGAUAAGGGCUAUCGAGUUAUUUGGUUGCAUCUUUAGGUGUAGAUUCUUGUCAUCCUGUGUUGAAGUUGUUUGUAAGUGGGUUUAUCAGGGGCUGAGUUACAUUACAUUUUUUUCAUUUGAUUCCGUGUGGUUUUCAUUGUUAAAAUCGGUUUAUCGGUCUAUAUUGUCAUUACAGUAACUUUUCAAUGUUGGAAGGUUUGAUUUUUCAGAUUGAACUAUAGCACGCAUAAAGAAAUAAAACCUCGUCUCCAGAAAAGGCUCUAGAGGCAAUGGCGCCGGCUGCGUAUUCCACCCCAGCGGCUGUGGGUGGGUCAACCUCCCACCCUGCUGCCGGGCCCAACUCCUCUGGUUCUUCCAAUUCGGAAAACUUCAAAAUAAAAAUUCUCACAGUCAACGGAGGAGAGGAUGUAUUAAGAAAAAUAUUGGAUGUUACUACCACUGAAGCAGGGAUUGUUUUCAUAAUAACAACCACUGGGACCUUAUCAUGCGCCACAAUCCGCCUCCCUGCGCAAGAUGGCGAACCCAGAGUAUAUGAGUUAUACGGCCAAUUCCAUGUGAUGCUAUGAAUUUUACGUUCUUUUAACCAUAAUCAAAGAUUUAUUCUUCAAGGUCCGUUUCAAAUUCUUUCAAUGGUCGGUUCCUUUGUUCCAUGUAGAGGUGGACUUCAAAGUGGCAAUGAUGGAAGGUUGAGUACAGCCUUACUUCGGCCUGAUGGAACUACACUUGGGGGUAUUGUCGAAGGACCCUUGAUCGCUGCAUCUCCUGUACAGAUCGUAUUUUCUUGCUCACCCCACGGAGAGGAUGAGUUUUGAGAGAAGCAGAUCGUUUGUGAAUCCAUCGAUUGCAAAUCCUCUUAUCACCCCACAUAAAAAUCUCGGUGGUGCUUCAAAGCAUAGUUCAAUUGUCCAUAAAUGAAGUGUAUAUGUGCUGGUAAACUGAAUAUGUUCGGUGUAUAUUUAUUCUAUAGAGGAGGUUGUUGUUGGUUGUAUAUGAUGCCCAUGUUCUAGCAUCUUAAUUUGUAUUUUGCGGUGAUCAUCAACAAUAUGUAGUAUUAGUAUUUUAGGGUGUGUUUGUUUGUGGCUUUGUAUUUUUGGGAUCGGAUUUUUCAAUAGUAAAAAGUUGAAUUUCAAUA
RNA transcript from Andrographis paniculata, 5175 nucleotides. It is a transcript of the gene named AT-hook motif nuclear-localized protein 1-like, with no coding region annotated. The transcript is spliced from 13 exons. The record is from RefSeq and is a predicted model, not a curated record. NCBI's taxonomy places the organism in Eukaryota, Viridiplantae, Streptophyta, Magnoliopsida, Lamiales, Acanthaceae.